Molecule: transfer RNA, 71 nt
Filed under: Yasminevirus sp. GU-2018
Lineage: Varidnaviria; Bamfordvirae; Nucleocytoviricota; Megaviricetes; Imitervirales; Mimiviridae
Rfam family: tRNA
About the family: Transfer RNA (tRNA) molecules are approximately 80 nucleotides in length. Their secondary structure includes four short double-helical elements and three loops (D, anti-codon, and T loops).
Source: Rfam by way of RNAcentral
AGCAUGAUGGUGUAAUGGAAACACGACGGUCUUCGAAACCGUGAACCUGGGUUCGAUUCCCAGUCAUGCUA